Molecule: transfer RNA, 92 nt
Filed under: Salmo salar (Atlantic salmon)
Lineage: Eukaryota; Metazoa; Chordata; Actinopteri; Salmoniformes; Salmonidae
Rfam family: tRNA
About the family: Transfer RNA (tRNA) molecules are approximately 80 nucleotides in length. Their secondary structure includes four short double-helical elements and three loops (D, anti-codon, and T loops). Further hydrogen bonds mediate the characteristic L-shaped molecular structure. tRNAs have two regions of fundamental functional importance: the anti-codon, which is responsible for specific mRNA codon recognition, and the 3' end, to which the tRNAs corresponding amino acid is attached (by aminoacyl-tRNA synthetases). tRNAs cope with the degeneracy of the genetic code in two manners: having more than one tRNA (with a specific anti-codon) for a particular amino acid; and 'wobble' base-pairing, i.e. permitting non-standard base-pairing at the 3rd anti-codon position.
Source: Rfam by way of RNAcentral
CUCCCUGUGGCUCAGUUGGUAGAGCAUGGUGUUUGCAACGCCAGCAUGGUGUGUGCAAUGCCAGGGUUGUGGGUUUGAAUCCCAUGGGGGGC